GCAUCCCUUACAAGCAUACACAGCUGCUUGCCCUUUUGCCUUGUGUCCAUCCUGGAGCAGCCUUCUGCAAGAUUCUAUGUUACCUGUCCUCGGUCCACUUGGAAUCUCUUGAGAGAGCCGAGUCCUGUGUGUUCCUAGGCCCUGCCACAGGGACCUGGACGCCCUGCCUGUUGAGGCAAGGUUGUGGAUGUCCCGGGCCUUAUGGUCCCUGCUUCGCAUGAUGUGGGGCAGAAUCCAUCUGAACGCUCAUCACUACCAAGGCCAAGGUUUUGGAAGGAAGUCCUUCUUCUCCCAUCUUAGUAUUAGACCAUCGGAUUUGGGACACACGACUAAGGGCGCUGAC
This is a long non-coding RNA of Peromyscus eremicus (cactus mouse), 343 nucleotides long. RefSeq lists it as uncharacterized. NCBI's taxonomy places the organism in Eukaryota, Metazoa, Chordata, Mammalia, Rodentia, Cricetidae. The record is from RefSeq and is a predicted model, not a curated record. The transcript is spliced from 3 exons.